GAGUUCAAGAGUACGUGAAACUGCUUAGAGGUUAAACCCGAUGAACCUGAAUAUCCAUUAUGGAAAAUUCAUCAUUAAUUUUUUAAUAUUUAAAAUAUUAUAAAAAUAGUGUGCAAUUUUUCCAUAUAAGGACAUUGUAAUCUGUUAAUGUCUUAAAUAUUUAUCAAAAAAUCUUUAACGUAAGUUUAUUCAAAUUAGUAAUUUUUAAUUUCUAACAUAGAAUAAUUGUUUUAGAUUUGAUAAAUCAUUGACAGAUUAAAUUUUAUAUAAUGCUUAAAUUUUUCGGAAUUUUACAAUGGUAGAGAAAAUCUUAUGAUUUUUUUUAUUUAUAUUGUAUGCAUUUAUAUGAUUAACAAUGCAAUAGAUUCAGGAUACCUUCGGGACCCGUCUUGAAACACGGACCAAGGAGUCUAACAUAUGUGCAAGUCAUUGGGUAUUUUUAAUAAAACCCAAUGGCAUAAUUAACUUAACUGUUUUAAAUGGGAUUAGUUUUUAUUUUAUUAUGAAAUAUAAAUUCAAUCCCGGGGCGUUCUAUAUAGUUAUGCAUAAUGGUAUUUAUAUUAUUUAUGCCUCUAACUAGAGC
This 583-nucleotide ribosomal RNA is filed under the name Pipiza sp. GKS-2002. Its description in RNAcentral is "partial 28S ribosomal RNA". The record is from RNAcentral. Lineage: Eukaryota; Metazoa; Arthropoda; Insecta; Diptera; Syrphidae.